UCCAUGAUGGCCGAGAAAUUUAGGCAUCGAGCUUUUAACUCGAUUACAGUUUUACUAAACUUCAGGAU
This 68-nucleotide transfer RNA is filed under the name Nodularia breviconcha. RNAcentral's name for it is "tRNA-Lys". The record is from RNAcentral. Lineage: Eukaryota; Metazoa; Mollusca; Bivalvia; Unionida; Unionidae.